This 95-nucleotide small RNA is filed under the name Sphingomonas leidyi. RNAcentral describes it as "microRNA MIR1846". Lineage: Bacteria; Pseudomonadati; Pseudomonadota; Alphaproteobacteria; Sphingomonadales; Sphingomonadaceae. The record is from RNAcentral.
UUUCCUCGUCAUCCCCGCGAAGGCGGGGAUCCAGAGCCAAGGCCGACAAAGUUUGUGACCCCGGAUCCCCGCCUUCGCGGGGAUGACGGACAAGA